GAUGAACGCUGGCGGCGUGCCUAAUACAUGCAAGUCGAGCGAACAGAUGAGGAGCUUGCUCCUCUGACGUUAGCGGCGGACGGGUGAGUAACACGUGGAUAACCUACCUAUAAGACUGGGAUAACUUCGGGAAACCGGAGCUAAUACCGGAUAAUAUAUUGAACCGCAUGGUUCAAUAGUGAAAGACGGUUUUGCUGUCACUUAUAGAUGGAUCCGCGCCGCAUUAGCUAGUUGGUAAGGUAACGGCUUACCAAGGCAACGAUGCGUAGCCGACCUGAGAGGGUGAUCGGCCACACUGGAACUGAGACACGGUCCAGACUCCUACGGGAGGCAGCAGUAGGGAAUCUUCCGCAAUGGGCGAAAGCCUGACGGAGCAACGCCGCGUGAGUGAUGAAGGUCUUCGGAUCGUAAAACUCUGUUAUUAGGGAAGAACAAAUGUGUAAGUAACUAUGCACGUCUUGACGGUACCUAAUCAGAAAGCCACGGCGAACUACGU
RNAcentral lists this ribosomal RNA (496 nucleotides) under uncultured bacterium. RNAcentral's name for it is "partial 16S ribosomal RNA". It matches the Rfam family "Bacterial small subunit ribosomal RNA", at positions 28 to 506 of the family's 1533-position model. The record is from RNAcentral.